AACAAAAGCCGCCAGAUUCCUCACAAUAUUCUACCUCUGCAUGAUCUGGAUAUCAAAAUCAAAUUUUUCCUCGAGCUUCAACGUCAAAAUCUGGUCUUGCUGCAGAAAACCCUAAGAAAAAUACAGCUGCCCAAAGUAGCGAGGACAGUAGAAGAGACCAAUAGGCUAAGGUUAGAUUUUUUAUUUUUGAGUAGUUUUUUGUGCACCGUAUGUGGUGUAGAAAAAAUAUAUCAUUCUAUCUGAUUGGGCCAC
This 252-nucleotide long non-coding RNA is filed under the name Elaeis guineensis (African oil palm). RNAcentral describes it as "long non-coding RNA (EGUI_LNC075705)". The record is from RNAcentral. Lineage: Eukaryota; Viridiplantae; Streptophyta; Magnoliopsida; Arecales; Arecaceae.